UACGGGAGGCAGCAGUGGGGAAUAUUGCACAAUGGGCGCAAGCCUGAUGCAGCCAUGCCGCGUGUAUGAAGAAGGCCUUCGGGUUGUAAAGUACUUUCAGUCGUGAGGAAGGUGUUAAGGUUAAUAACCUUAGCAAUUGACGUUAGCGACAGAAGAAGCACCGGCUAACUCCGUGCCAGCAGCCGCGGUAAUACGGAGGGUGCGAGCGUUAAUCGGAAUUACUGGGCGUAAAGGGCACGCAGGCGGUUAAUUAAGUUGGAUGUGAAAUCCCCGGGCUUAACCUGGGAAUGGCAUUCAAGACUGGUUAGCUAGAGUCUUGUAGAGGGGGUGAAUUCCAUGUGUAGCGGUGAAAUGCGUAGAGAUGUGGAGGAAUACCGGUGGCGAAGGCGGCCCCUGGGACAAAGACUGACGCUCAUGUGCGAAAGCGUGGGGAGCAAACAGGGAUUAGAUACC
This 453-nucleotide ribosomal RNA is filed under the name uncultured bacterium. RNAcentral describes it as "bacterial SSU rRNA". It matches the Rfam family "Bacterial small subunit ribosomal RNA", at positions 340 to 786 of the family's 1533-position model. The record is from RNAcentral.